Molecule: ribosomal RNA, 449 nt
Filed under: uncultured bacterium
Lineage: Bacteria
Description: bacterial SSU rRNA
Rfam family: Bacterial small subunit ribosomal RNA
Source: RNAcentral
GAUGAACGCUAGCUACAGGCUUAACACAUGCAAGUCGAGGGGAAACGACAUCGAAAGCUUGCUUUUGGUGGGCGUCGACCGGCGCACGGGUGAGUAACGCGUAUCCAACCUGCCCACCACUUGGGGAUAACCUUGCGAAAGUAAGACUAAUACCCAAUGAUAUCCCACGAAGGCAUCCGAAUGGGAUUAAAGAUUUAUCGGUGAUGGAUGGGGAUGCGUCUGAUUAGCUUGUUGGCGGGGUAACGGCCCACCAAGGCUACGAUCAGUAGGGGUUCUGAGAGGAAGGUCCCCCANAUUGGAACUGAGACACGGUCCAAACUCCUACGGGAGGCAGCAGUGAGGAAUAUUGGUCAAUGGGCGAGAGCCUGAAACCAGCCAAGUAGCGUGCAGGACGACGGCCCUAUGGGUUGUAAACUCGCUUUUAUAAGGGAAUAAAGUGAGCCUCGUGA